Molecule: unclassified non-coding RNA, 200 nt
Filed under: soil metagenome
Description: partial contains internal transcribed spacer 2 and large subunit ribosomal RNA
Source: RNAcentral
UUUGCCUUUUGGGUUGCCGGUCAGCUGAAAUACAUUCACGCUUUAAGAGCUGCUUUCCCUUCGGGAAAGGCGAGUUCCGAUUUGGUAGGUGACCUUUGCCGGUUGCAUGCCUUCGUUGCCCGUUAUGCUCUCAACUGCGCUGUGCAGGACGCCAUUUGGCUUUCGACCUGAGGUCAGGCAAGAACACCCGCUGAACUUAA